This 253-nucleotide ribosomal RNA is filed under the name uncultured bacterium. RNAcentral's name for it is "partial 16S ribosomal RNA". It matches the Rfam family "Bacterial small subunit ribosomal RNA", at positions 524 to 776 of the family's 1533-position model. The record is from RNAcentral.
UACGGAGGGUGCGAGCGUUGUCCGGAUUUAUUGGGUUUAAAGGGUGCGUAGGCGGCCGUUUAAGUCCGGGGUGAAAGCCCGCUGCUCAACAGCGGAACUGCCCUGGAUACUGGACAGCUUGAGUACAGACGAGGUUGGCGGAAUGGACCGAGUAGCGGUGAAAUGCAUAGAUACGGUCCAGAACCCCGAUUGCGAAGGCAGCUGACUAGACUGUUACUGACGCUGAGGCACGAAAGCGUGGGGAGCGAACAGG